AUUGAACGCUGGCGGCAGGCCUAACACAUGCAAGUCGAGCGGAUGAAGGGAGCUUGCUCCUGGAUUCAGCGGCGGACGGGUGAGUAAUGCCUAGGAAUCUGCCUGGUAGUGGGGGAUAACGUCCGGAAACGGGCGCUAAUACCGCAUCCGUCCUGAGGGAGAAAGUGGGGGAUCUUCGGACCUCACGCUAUCAGAUGAGCCUAGGUCGGAUUAGCUAGUUGGUGGGGUAAAGGCCUACCAAGGCGACGAUCCGUAACUGGUCUGAGAGGAUGAUCAGUCACACUGGAACUGAGACACGGUCCAGACUCCUACGGGAGGCAGCAGUAGGGAAUAUUGGACAAUGGGCGAAAGCCUGAUCCAGCCAUGCCGCGUGUGUGAAGAAGGUCUUCGGAUUGUAAAGCACUUUAAGUUGGGAGGAAGGGCAGUAAGUUAAUACCUUGCUGUUUUGACGUUACCAACAGAAUAAGCACCGGCUAACUUCGUG
Molecule: ribosomal RNA, 484 nt
Filed under: uncultured bacterium
Lineage: Bacteria
Description: partial 16S ribosomal RNA
Rfam family: Bacterial small subunit ribosomal RNA
Source: RNAcentral